Molecule: ribosomal RNA, 940 nt
Filed under: archaeon enrichment culture clone C1-2C-A
Lineage: Archaea
Description: bacterial SSU rRNA
Rfam family: Archaeal small subunit ribosomal RNA
Source: RNAcentral
UCCGGUUGAUCCUGCCGGACCCCACUGCUAUCGGGAUAGGACUAAGACAUGCUAGUCGUGUGCCUCAGCCAAAACGAGGCACGGCGCACAGCUCAGUAACACGUGGCUAACCUGCCCUUAGGACGAGAAUAACCCCGGGAAACUGGGGCUAAUGCUCGAUAGGUGAAGAACUCUGGAAUGAGUCUUCACUUAAAAGAGUCUGCGUUAUGCUCGUAGAUUUCGCUUAAGGAUGGGGCCGCGACCGAUCAGGUUGUUGGUGAGGUAAUGGCUCACCAAGCCUUUUACCGGUGCGGGCCGUGAGAGCGGGAGCCCGGAGAUGGGCACUGAGACAAGGGCCCAGGCCCUACGGGGCGCAGCAGUCGCGAAAACUUUGCAAUACACGAAAGUGUGACAGGGCUAUCCCGAGUGUCAUCCGCUGAGGAAGGCUUUUACCCAGUCUAGAACGUUGGGGGAAUAAGGAGAGGGCAAGUCUGGUGUCAGCCGCCGCGGUAAUACCAGCUCUCCGAGUGGUGUGGAUGUUUAUUGGGCCUAAAGCAUCCGUAGCUGGCUAAGUUAGUCCCCUGUUAAAUCCAACGAAUUAAUCGUUGGAUCGCGGGGGAUACUGCUUGGCUAGGGGACGAGAGAGGCAGACGGUAUUUCCGGGGUAGGGGUGAAAUCCUAUAAUCCCGGGAAGACCACCAGUGGCGAAGGCUGUCUGCUAGAACGCGCCCGACGGUGAGGGAUGAAAGCUGGGGGAGCGAACCGGAUUAGAUACCCGGGUAGUCCCAGCUGUAAACGAUGCAGGCUAGGUGUUUGGACGGCCACGUGCCGUUCUAGUGCCGCAGGGAAGCUGUUAAGCCUGCCGCCUGGGGAGUACGAUCGCAAGAUUGAAACUUAAAGGAAUUGGCGGGGGAGCACCACAAGGGGUGAAGCUUGCGGUUUAAUUGGAUUCAACGCCGGG